This 2448-nucleotide long non-coding RNA is filed under the name Malus domestica (apple). RNAcentral's name for it is "long non-coding RNA (MDOM_LNC015088)". Lineage: Eukaryota; Viridiplantae; Streptophyta; Magnoliopsida; Rosales; Rosaceae. The record is from RNAcentral.
AGUUUGUGUUUUUAAGUGUUUUGAUUCAAGUAAAAGUUAAUUUUCGUUCAAAGUCAUUCCUAGUGUCUAGUUUAAGUUUAUUUGGUUGUUUUAAGCUGUUUUGAGUAUUUUAAGUUUGCUUUGAGUCUUGUGAAUCUUGUUAAGUGUUUUUAAGUUUAGUUUUAUGUUUUUGAGUCAGUUUAGAGGUUAUUAGUAAGCCCUCCUAAUCCCCGGUCCAGAACAAUCCUUACUUAUACUUAUACUACAGUUGUCAAAAGAGGGUUAAAUUUGUGUGUUAAGUUAAUUUUUGCAUCACUACACUUAAAUUAGUAUAUUGCAUUCUGUGUUUUUGCAUGAACCUCUUUUUUAUGAACUAAACGUUUAUAAACUAAAUUGAACCUGUAGUUUCAAAUUUAGUGCUUUUGAAACCCGAAGUUUUCUUAAAAUAAUACACCCAUGAAAACCCGAUGUUUUUCAUGAAAACCAUGUCUUAGAACUCGAAUGUUCUAACUUUGAUGCUUAUGGAUGAUUCAUUCCCCAUAGCACUAAUCACAAUCUUGUUCCAUCCAAUUCAGUGGAUUGUUGAACCGUCACAAGUUCAAUUUUCCUAUUUGGACGUUUCUAUUAGAAACCACUUUAUGUGGGGGUACAAGACGUGAAUCUCCACUUGACUAUCAAGAAGCUGAGAAACCAUUGAAACCAACAAUGGCAAGGAAGAGCUGAAUAAGCCUCCGCCAUGAUCUUCAUUCGAAAACUUAUGCCCGAAGCAUUACAAAUGGAAAUACCUCUCAAACGAGGAUUCCUUGGCUCUUUGGCUCACUCCUACAAACUGUUUAAUCAUGAAAGACAUUGCCUGAAGCACACCAUGAUUAUGUCUAUGAAUGAGUACAAUUCUAAAGUUUAUAAAUCCAAUCAAAAUUUGACUAGAGAAUGAUUUUCUCAUCCUUCCUUGUUUCUAACUCGCCCCUGAAGCAGUAGUGUAGAAAGCGGAAGUUUAUCAAAUUCUCGGAUCUGAUUACUGCCACAAACAUAUGGUAGAAUCAAGGCCUGCCAAGGUGUGUCAUCAUGCCCGAAGCGUGCUCCUUGGCACUUAGACCUAAAACUUCAAGAAUAAGAGAUAAUAUUCUCAAACCUUAACCCUGCAUAAUCUACUUCAGUCUCGAUGGAAUAAAUCAUUGGUUAUGCACCUAUUCGUACCUCUACCAAUGUUGUUGAAGAGUACCAUUCUAAUAGUCAAUAUGUGAAACUAAUUUUGCUCCACCAAACAUUGUUGGAAAAGCAGAAUUUUGACAUGGAUGGCCUUGUUGGCCAAAUCCCUGUAGUAAACCAUUUACUUUGUGAACAUUUUUUUAUGUUCUUGGAUUCAAGUUUGGUGUAUGUUUUACUUAUGGAUAACCUUAUUGAUAUUGUCCUUGAAUAUGAGUUAAUUGAAUCAUGUUUCUUGAUACAUGUGACUAAUUCAAUUAAACACGUGAUUAGGUAGGAAUGUGGGAAAAUCAGUUGUCUGGAUGAAUGUGUACUACACACACUAACUUUACACCUAAAUCACAUCUCUAACAAAGACUUAAAGUCUAUCUAACUUGAUUAAGAGCAUUGGCACACUCUUCAUUGUAUGAAUGAUACUAAAUCACCAUUUAAGGGACUUUAAAUUCUCCCUGUCUUUGAGUUUUUAAGGAUAUUCGAGAGAACAAUGAUCAUAAAUGAACCACUAAAGAAAAUAGAGUGAAAUAUCUUUGCACCACCUCCAAAAAUAAGCUUGAAGCUUUGAUUUGGGGCCAAUAUGUUAUCUCCCAACUGGAAACACAUCACAUAUGGGUGGCCCGGGGCCUGGUGAUUGAGCAGUUUACUUGCUUUGGCACGACCUUUUGGGACACUUAGGUCGAACAAUAAUGCUACAACACAUCUCUUUACCCGAAGUAAGGAUCUUGUGCCUACAAUCACACUUUGCCAAGCCUGCUCAUUAAGGAAAUUGAUUUUCUAUAUUAUUUCUCGCAAAGAUACGAAAUCACCCCUUUUUCACAGUGGAUUCAAGGGAAUAUAUGUGGACUAAUCCAACCAAAAUAUGAACCAUAUAAAUACUUAUGGUUUUGGUUGAUGAAUUGACAAAUUGGUCAUAUGUUUGUCCACACACAUUGCUGCUGAAUCUCACAGCCGAUUAAGGGUUCACCACCCUAUUUAUCCCUUAAGGUCCAAGGGACUGGAUAAUGUCGGAGAGUUUAUAUCAACGAUUUUUCGAUAAAGUAUUACUUGUAUUUUGGGUUUAUAAUUGAACAUUGAAAUCCCAUGUUCACCCCAAAUAGCCUCGCCUAGUGACCAUAAAACGCAAUUUAAAUGAUCACUCGGAUUUUGGUACACAUACCAAGUUUUUCAGUUUUUGCCUAGGGCUAUGCAAUCUUGUACACAAUUAUGUUGGUCCGCCUUGAGGCCCAUUGCCACCCAACCUAUAUGACGUUACAGUUGGUUACUGGG